UGUGUCCUGCGCCGGGACCUUGCGCCCAACCCGCCGGUACCUGCCCUCCGCCCCCAACAGGCGAGAAGCAGCCGCGUCCACAUGGCUUCAGGUGUUCACAUGGCAGUAAACGGGCCCCUGCUCUCCUGGGCGCCCCAGCGCGGCGCCCUCCCGCCCACAUCCCGGCCCAGCCCCGCUGGCCUCGCCUCCAGCCCGUAGCCAAGAGGCGAGCGCGGCCGGUGCCCCCGGGGCUGCCAGGGGCCCCGAAGCAGGCGGCGCUGACUCCCGGACGCCGCCCGCUCACACCCGCCGCCUUUGCACCCAAGGCCUCGCGCGACCAGCAGAUGGGGCCACUGAGGUGCAAAGAGUUUAACUUAUCCCAAGUCACACAGUUUGGAAGAGGCUGAGCUGGUAUUUGAACCCAGGUUUUCAGAGGCUGCACUCUUAACCACCAAGCUUCCCAGCACUCAGCAAACACUGGAAAGACAGAGAUGGACCUAGACAGUCAGUAGGACCAAAAGUCUGCAGGCCGAUAGGGAAAGAAUGUAAGAGGACGGCAUGGGCAGCGCCAGCCCCUCCAGCAGUCAUAUAUUAAGCCCUGGACACUGGGCAGCUCGGGCAGGUCGGGGGGCCUCAGACUCUCGGACCCCAUGCCUGGAAGACCACGGUCUGCCCAACAAGCAGCAGCUGCUGUGAAUCGACUUACACAUCUUCCCCACAGGUGAGCAGAGAGCUAACACCUGAGGAUAGGCCAAGAAACGGGAAGCCCGUGCAACCUGAGCGCACAGAUCACCCCCACCUGCCCGGCACUCACUGUCCCCAGUGGCUGGACUCUCAUCGGGCCAGUCACUGAGCUGGCGCCAGCCUGGUCUCACCAGUGUGUGUCUUUAAAUCAUCCAAUUUCUUCAGCUGUAAAUUGGGCUGGGAGGGGCCAGGUGAGCUGCCUGCCUCAGGGGAGUCGGCGCCCUUACCUGAGUGAUCCCAUUCACUCCUCACAACAAACCCAUGAGGCAGGGAUUGUCAUCUUCAUUGUACAGAGCAGGAAAUGGGUGCACACAGAGGUUAAGAGACUUGCCCAGGUCACACAGCUAGGAAGAGGCUGUGAUUUGAACUCAGUCUUCUGGCUCCAAAGCCCCCACAGAGUCACUCAGGGCACUACAAAGAGUUAACCUGAAUAUGAAAUGAUCUAAGAGUCGCAGUGACAAAGGCAUGCUCUAAGCGCUUUUCCUGCAGUAACUUGCUUAAUCCUUACAACAACCCUAUAAAGUGGGUACUGUUCUCGCCUCAUUUUGCAGAUGAGGAAACUGAGGCACAGAGCAGCUCGGAGGGGGCAGAGCUGAAUCUGACAGGCUACAGGGCCCCUGCGUUGCUUUGUUAUAAGAUGACAAUAAGGAAGUUCCUUUCCUUUGGGAUUAUUUCUGCCUGAAAGCUCAAGACUUUUAGCCACAUCAUUGUCUGGGCUCCACGGGAAGGCAGUGCCACAUGCUGAGGCAUGCUGGGAAAAGACUUUGUUCCAUCCUGUUUUGUUGACAUGCUCUUCAUUUUUAAGCCUGAAACCGAAGCUUCCUGCUAAGAAUUCAAACCAUGGAGAAAAACGCAGCCAUGAUAACGGCCACUACUUCCUGAGCCUCCAGUGUUCCCUGUGCUUGGGGAUCCAUAUAUGUCACUUAACCUUAACCUUCACAACACCAGGGCAGCCUCCAUUUUCACAAGUGAAGAAAUGGAGGCCCAGAGUCACUUAGAAGAUGCUCGAAGGUGCACAGCUGCUAAGUGGUGGUGCUGGGAUUUGUCCUCAGGUCCUCAAGAGUCCUGACUCUUAUGUGCUGGCUCCCCACGGAGGCGUGGAGUCUUGUUUGCUGGGCAUUUGACAGAAAUGUUUCUGCUCAUCUUCUGCCACAGGUUGGUCCUUCAGCGUCAAGAUUCCUGGGCCACUUAUUAAUAGAAGGCACCAGGACACAGGUGCAGGGAUGCAGAGCUGGAUGCUGCCUUCUCAAUAGGAGAAGCCAAGAAACGCAGAUGCCGAUGCUUAAUCAACUCCGUCUCUCCCUCUAGUGACUCGGGGAUAGCUGCCCUGAUGCCAAGGCGAUUGUCUUCUGGAAGCAGCCACGCCGUGUGAGGUUCCUCAUCACUGCCCUGCAUCUCCCUGCGAGCUCUCGGGGAUAAUUGCAAAAUCACGUUUGAUUCCAGGGGAGCAGAAAGCAGCAGGAGCCGUGAAUUCUCCAACUCUUAACUGGUCCUCGACUGGAGCCACUUUUCCCUGCCCACCCAUCCCUGUGGCGGAUUCAUUACAGUUAUCCAAAGCCGGUUUUAACUUUGCUCCCCCUGGCUCAGAAGUCUGUCAGUGGGUCCUGAGCGGCUUCACCAUUCAAGUUUAUUCCUAUCAGCCUGGAAUACAAUGCUCUAUCUGGCUCCGCUUGCUUCUCCAAACCUUCUCUCCCAGGUCUCAUUCUGCCUCUCUGUCUAACUAGACAAGUUGGCUUCCUGUCCUGUGCCUGUCUGCUCCCUGCAGCAGGAAUGCCGUUCCCUCUUCCCUACAGAUUGAAAUUAUAUCCUCUUUCAAGUCUUACUCAAAUGCCACCUCCUCCACAAACUCUUAACACUUAUUCAUUCAUUCAACAAACAUUGACUGAGCCCUUAUGACAAGCAUUGAUCCCAAGGGUCCCUGUGGUCAUGAAGUUUAUGGUGCCAUGGAGCUGUUAGAAAAAGAAUCAUCACAUAAAUAAUCAUCUGAUAACAGCCAUGAUACAAAUUAGUAAGAAAGUGUGGCAGGAGCACAGCAGAUGUACAAUAGGGACCCUGAGCCUUGGGGAUCUAGGACAUUUGAGCUGAGGCCUGAAAGACAAGUAGGAAGUAACCACAUGGUGAAGUUGGAGGAGAGCUCCAGGCAGAGGGCACGGCAUGGGCAAAGGCCCUGCGGUAGGAGGGAACAAGUAGAUUUCCAGGAAGGGCACAGGGGCCUGCAGGGUAAUGUAAGUGAAAUGAGAAAGCUGGAGAUGCAGCUGGAGCAGGACAGUACAGGCCACAGAGGCUUUGCGACUUUAUCCCUGGGCAAAAAGAGGAGAUGAUGAAGGAUUCUGAGCACAGGACACAAGCCAGUAUGUAUUUAGACGCGAUCCUGCCCUGUGGCUGAGCCUCUUCUGAGAAGUGCAGGCCCUGUGUCACGUCACCCUGAACCUCAGUCAUCAGGGUUUUGGAUGUGAGUUUCCAUAUCCCUCUUCCUAGGCCAAGCUCUCAAAGGCAAGGCUGACCUCUGGUCUUCAGCUUCAUCCUCAUCAGCCAGGCCAGUGCCCAGCACAAGGAGCUGCUCCAAAAACAUACGUGGGUUGAACCAGUGACCAGGACAAGACGCUUAUCAGCAUUUCCCUGCGAAGGAGCAGGGCUGCCUGUAAAGCCUUCCACAUUCUCUAGAAAUUACAAAGUUCAAGGGUUUUAGUGAGGCCACGACUCAGGGAGCCCUUGAGAGCCAAGCUGGCAUCCCACUGCUGUGCACACCCAGCCUGGGCACACAGUAUGACCCUGCCCAGGCAUCUGCCUGCGGCCGUCUGGUGAAUGACCAGAAACAGAACCGAAAGCUCUGUAAAGUGCUCUCAAGGUUACAAAGCAUGUUUCACAGGAGCAGUUUCAUCUCACACGGGCAGCCCUCUGAGCUGGGUAGUUACUGCUUUACAGAUGAGGAAACUGAGGCCCGGGAGAGGGCGGGACCUCAGCAAAUCAAGAAAAAACUGAGACUAGGACCUAACGGAAGUCCAGGCUAUGAAUGGCCCCCGUAGGGUUAAAAGAGCUUUCUAGAAAUUUCUUUGAAAACUAUUGUAAAGUGACAUAUUUCCUCAGGAUGUCUGUCACGCCAGCAGUGGGAGCCAACACACCAACUCUCAGAGGCUGUUCCCCCUGCGCGGCAGAUCCAGACGCUCAGCUCCCAGGCCUGGAGGCUGGCGGCUUAGCCCAGGGCACAGGAGGAGGCUGCCUGGGUUUGGCGCUGACUUACAGCAGGUGCUGAGGGAAUGCUGAGGAGAGGCAAGGCUGAUUCAAGAGGCCGACAACAGAGAACAUUCCUAGAGCUCUCCCGCCAGCUAGGCAUGGUGCUAAGUGCAUUACCUGCGUCCACUCGUAACAUCCUCACAACACUGUGAAUACGAUGACCAUCCCCAUGUACAGGCGUGGACGCUAAGGCUCAGAGCAAUAAAUAAUUAGCCUGAGAUCACACGGCAGGUGAGUGCAGAGGCCGGAUCUGAACCCACACAUUGCCCUUAAGCAACCCCAUGUCCUGAGCAAAGGUGAGCAGAAACAUCUUGGGAAGAGGGAACCACGACUGUAUCUUCCUCAGCAGACAUGAUGGUGCAGGGUACCCCUUCCCCUGCCCACCUGACGACCAUUAUUCCCAUUAUCAGUAUAUCCCUCUGUGGGCAAAUGAUGACAGACAUGCAUGGUAACCACUUCUUCACAAGUUUUGUGUCUCCCCAGCCUCCUCCCCUAGGGCUCUCUAGGCUUCCUUUACCCGUCCUGCCUCAGAUGGACUCCCAGCAUCAUCAUCUGCCUCUGUGCCUUCUUGGUAGUAGGUGGGUGUGAAAAAGAAAGGAAGGGCCAGGUGCAGUGGCUCAUACCUGUAGUCCCAGCACUUUGGGAGGCUGAGGCGGGCGGAUCACCUGAGGUCAGGAGUUCGAAACCAGCCUGGCCAACAUGGUGAAACCCUAUCUCUGGUGGCAGGUGCCUGUAAUCCCAGCUACUUGGAAGGCUGAGGCUGGAGAAUCACUUGAACCUGGGAGGCAGAGGUUGCAGUGAGCAGAGAUUGCGCCACUGCACUCCAGUCUGGGCAACAGAGCGACUCCCUCUCAAUAAAUAAAAUAAAAUAA
Molecule: long non-coding RNA, 4829 nt
Organism: Homo sapiens (human)
Lineage: Eukaryota; Metazoa; Chordata; Mammalia; Primates; Hominidae
Gene: OGFRP1
Product: opioid growth factor receptor pseudogene 1
Source: Ensembl